RNAcentral lists this ribosomal RNA (305 nucleotides) under uncultured bacterium. RNAcentral's name for it is "bacterial SSU rRNA". It matches the Rfam family "Bacterial small subunit ribosomal RNA", at positions 336 to 637 of the family's 1533-position model. The record is from RNAcentral.
UUCCUACGGGAGGCAGCAGUGAGGAAUAUUGGUCAAUGGGCUUACGCCUGAACCAGCCAAGUCGCGUGAGGGAAGACUGCCCUAUGGGUUGUAAACCUCUUUUGUCAGGGAGCAACGCCGGCUACGUGUAGCCGGACUGAGAGUACCUGAAGAAAAAGCAUCGGCUAACUCCGUGCCAGCAGCCGCGGUAAUACGGAGGAUGCGAGCGUUAUCCGGAUUUAUUGGGUGUAAAGGGCGUGUAGGCGGGACUGCAAGUCAGAUGUGAAAAUUAUGGGCUCAACCCAUAACCUGCAUUUGAAACUGUA